Molecule: ribosomal RNA, 497 nt
Filed under: uncultured bacterium
Lineage: Bacteria
Description: partial 16S ribosomal RNA
Rfam family: Bacterial small subunit ribosomal RNA
Source: RNAcentral
GAUGAACGCUGGCGGCGUGCCUAAAACAUGCAAGUCGAGCUACAGGACAGGAAGUUCGUCCUCUUACGGUUGGCGCGGGACGGGCGGGUAACAAGUGGAUAACCAACUAAUAAGACGGGGAUAAUUCCGGAAAACCGGAGAAAAUACCGGAUAAUACUUUCAACGGCUGGGUUCAAUAGAGAAAGAGGGUUUUCUUGUCACUAUUAGAUGAUUCCGGGCCGCAUUAGCUAGUUGGUAAGGUAACGGCUUACCAAGGCAACGAUGCGUAGCCGACCUGAGAGGGUGAUCGGCCACACUGGAACUGAGACACGGUCCAGACUCCUACGGGAGGCAGCAGUAGGGAAUCUUCCGCAAUGGGCGAAAGCCUGACGGAGCAACGCCGCGUGAGUGAUGAAGGUCUUCGGAUCGUAAAACUCUGUUAUUAGGGAAGAACAAAUGUGUAAGUAACUAUGCACGUCUUGACGGUACCUAAUGAGAAAGCCACGGCUAACUACGUG